This 278-nucleotide ribosomal RNA is filed under the name uncultured bacterium. RNAcentral describes it as "partial 16S ribosomal RNA". It matches the Rfam family "Bacterial small subunit ribosomal RNA", at positions 29 to 334 of the family's 1533-position model. The record is from RNAcentral.
AACGAACGCUGGCGGCAGGCCUAACACAUGCAAGUCGAACGCAUCCUUCGGGAUGAGUGGCAGACGGGUGAGUAACGCGUGGGAAUCUACCUAUCUCUACGGAACAACACAUAGAAAUGUGUGCUAAUACCGUAUACGCCCUUAGGGGGAAAGAUUUAUCGGAGAUAGAUGAGCCCGCGUUGGAUUAGCUAGUUGGUGAGGUAAUGGCUCACCAAGGCGACGAUCUAUAGCUGGUCUGAGAGGAUGAUCAGCCACACUGGGACUGAGACACGGCCCAG